GAGUUUGAUCCUGGCUCAGAUUGAACGCUGGCGGCAUGCCUUACACAUGCAAGUCGAACGGCAGCACGGGAGCUUGCUCCUGGUGGCGAGUGGCGAACGGGUGAGUAAUGCAUCGGAACGUAUCCUGGAUGGGGGAUAACGUAGCGAAGUUACGCUAAUACCGCGUAUUCUGUGAGCAGGAAAGCGGGGGACCUUCGGGCCUCGCGCUCUUGGAGCGGCCGAUGUCGGAUUAGCUAGUUGGUGAGGUAAAGGCUCACCAAGGCGACGAUCCGUAGCAGGUCUGAGAGGAUGAUCUGCCACACUGGAACUGAGACACGGUCCAGGACUCCUA
This 331-nucleotide ribosomal RNA is filed under the name bacterium enrichment culture clone ALO1_GLFRUDD03FZFWZ. Its description in RNAcentral is "bacterial SSU rRNA". It matches the Rfam family "Bacterial small subunit ribosomal RNA", at positions 9 to 341 of the family's 1533-position model. The record is from RNAcentral.